GUGAAGAACGUAGCGAAAUGCGAUAAGUAAUGUGAAUUGCAGAAUUCAGUGAAUCAUCGAAUCUUUGAACGCACAUUGCGCCCGCCAGUAUUCUGGCGGGCAUGCCUGUCCGAGCGUCAUUUCAACCCUCGAACCCCUCCGGGGGGUCGGCGUUGGGGAUCGGCCCUUUACGGGGCCGGCCCCGAAAUACAGUGGCGGUCUCGCCGCAGCCUCUCCUGCGCAGUAGUUUGCACACUCGCAUCGGGAGCGCGGCGCGUCCACAGCCGUUAAACACCCCAAACUUCUGAAAUGUUGACCUCGGAUCAGGUAGGAAUACCCGCUGAACUUAAGCAUAUCAAUAAGCGGAGGA
Molecule: unclassified non-coding RNA, 349 nt
Filed under: soil metagenome
Description: partial contains 5.8S ribosomal RNA, internal transcribed spacer 2, and large subunit ribosomal RNA
Rfam family: 5.8S ribosomal RNA (bases 2-119)
Source: RNAcentral